AGUGUCAAUCCUGGGACCGUGAAAGGUACUGAUCUAGAGGGCGAAGUUGGUGAAACACAGGCCGUGGAAAAAGAAAACCUUUUGGUUGGUGAAGCUCAUCCUGCUAUCCCUCACGGUCAUUCUCCUUCAUCUUCAUCUUCUUCAUUUAACAUGGUCGACUUCCCAAGCAUGCCUGCUGUUGAGGUCUUGUCUGGUGGUUCUUCAUCUACUACAAAAGACGUGCCAGUUCCUCUUCAGGAGGAUAUAGAAAAGAAUGACGUGGAGAUAACCAUGCUCAAGGAGCUCGAGGAAAUGGGUUUCAAGGAGAUAGAUUUGAACAAGGAGAUCUUGAGGGAUAACGAGUACAACCUGGAGCAGUCUGUUGAUGCUCUUUGUGGAGUUAGCGAGUGGGAUCCAAUCCUAGAGGAGCUUCAGGAGAUGGUAAGUGUGUCUGCACUUGGUGAAUUUAUUAAAUCUUACUUUGCAGAUUGGAAUGUUGAAAAUAUUGUGAUUUUGCAGGGCUUCUGUGAUGAUGUGACGAACAAGAGACUGCUGAAGAAGAACAAUGGAAGCAUCAAAGGCGUGGUAAUGGAUCUCCUCACAGGGGAGAAGGAGGCUUGAUGAGCUCUUUGGUUUCUGGCAACUCUUCUCUAUCUCUCUUAUCUAUCAGGAAUAAUUAUGUUUUAUAAAUAAAACCUGAUCUCUUAGUUUGGUUUCGUGCUGCGUCACAUGGUCUGUUCCUUUGCUUUGUGUUGGGAUGAUGUUACU
This 747-nucleotide small RNA is filed under the name Arabidopsis thaliana (thale cress). RNAcentral's name for it is "ATSL228390". The record is from RNAcentral. Lineage: Eukaryota; Viridiplantae; Streptophyta; Magnoliopsida; Brassicales; Brassicaceae.